RNAcentral lists this ribosomal RNA (450 nucleotides) under uncultured bacterium. RNAcentral describes it as "bacterial SSU rRNA". It matches the Rfam family "Bacterial small subunit ribosomal RNA", at positions 954 to 1402 of the family's 1533-position model. The record is from RNAcentral.
GAUUAACGCGAAGAACCUUACCAGCGUUUGACAUGGGUACUAUGGUUAUCAGAGAUGAUUUCCUUCACUUCGGGUGGGUACCACACAGGUGCUGCAUGGCUGUCGUCAGCUCGUGUCGUGAGAUGUUGGGUCAAGUCCCGCAACGAGCGCAACCCUCACCUUCAGUUGCCAUCAUUUAGUUGGGCACUCUGAAGGAACUGCCGGUGACAAGCCGGAGGAAGGUGGGGAUGACGUCAAGUCCUCAUGGCCCUUACGCGCUGGGCUACACACGUGCUACAAUGGUGGUGACAAUGGGUCGCAAGCGUGCGAACGCAAGCUAAUCUCCAAAAGCCAUCCCAGUUCGGAUUGCACUCUGCAACUCGAGUGCAUGAAGUCGGAAUCGCUAGUAAUCGUGGAUCAGCAUGCCACGGUGAAUACGUUCCCGGGCCUUGUACACACCGAAUCACUAGU